RNAcentral lists this ribosomal RNA (253 nucleotides) under uncultured bacterium. Its description in RNAcentral is "partial 16S ribosomal RNA". It matches the Rfam family "Bacterial small subunit ribosomal RNA", at positions 524 to 776 of the family's 1533-position model. The record is from RNAcentral.
UACGUAGGGUGCAAGCGUUAAUCGGAAUUACUGGACGUAAAGCGUGCGCAGGCGGUUUUGUAAGUCUGUCGUGAAAGCCCCGGGCUCAACCUGGGAAUUGCGAUGGAGACUGCAAGGCUUGAAUCUGGCAGAGGGGGGUAGAAUUCCACGUGUAGCAGUGAAAUGCGUAGAGAUGUGGAGGAACACCGAUGGCGAAGGCAGCCCCCUGGGUCAAGAUUGACGCUCAUGCACGAAAGCGUGGGGAGCAAACAGG